This is a non-coding RNA of Gossypium raimondii (Peruvian cotton), 145 nucleotides long. Lineage: Eukaryota; Viridiplantae; Streptophyta; Magnoliopsida; Malvales; Malvaceae. The record is from Rfam.
UGUUAAAAAUUCCAUCCAUUUGUACUGUUAAAAAACAGGCACGACUAACAAAAAAUCAGACAGUGACAGGUGACAUGCCACGUAUACCUCAUGUUGAUAUACAAAGACCAGUUUUUAACAGCAAAACUGGAUGACAUUUUUAACA